Molecule: ribosomal RNA, 675 nt
Filed under: uncultured bacterium
Lineage: Bacteria
Description: bacterial SSU rRNA
Rfam family: Bacterial small subunit ribosomal RNA
Source: RNAcentral
GGGACAGCCUCGGGAAACCGUGGGUAAUACCGGAUACUCCGGGACGGCCGCAUGGCCGGCCCGGGAAAGCCCAGACGGGAGGGGAUGGGCCCGCGGCCUGUUAGCUAGUCGGCGGGGUAACGGCCCACCGAGGCGAUUAUGGGUAGCCGGGUUGAGAGACCGACCGGCCAGAUUGGGACUGAGACACGGCCCAGACUCCUACGGGAGGCAGCAGUGGGGAAUCUUGCGCAAUGGGCGGAAGCCUGACGCAGCGACGCCGCGUGCGGGACGAAGGCCUUCGGGUCGUAAACCGCUUUCAGCAGGGACGAGGCCCUCACGGUGACGGUACCUGCAGAAGAAGCCCCGGCUAACUACGUGCCAGCAGCCGCGGUAAUACGUAGGGGGCGAGCGUUAUCCGGAUUCAUUGGGCGUAAAGCGCGCGUAGGCGGCCUGUUAGGUCGGGGGUCAAAUACCGGGGCUCAACCUCGGUCCGCCCCCGAUACCGGCAGGCUUGAGUCUGGUAGGGGAAGGCGGAAUUCCCAGUGCAGCGGUGGAAUGCGUAGAUAUAUGGAAGAACACCAGUGGCGAAGGCGGCUCUCUGGUCUGCAACUGACGCUGAGGCUCGAAAGCAUGGGUAGCGAACAGGAUUAGAUACCCUGGUAGUCCAUGCCGUAAACGAUGAGUGAUAGGUGUUGG